GAGUGGCGAACUGGUGAGUAACACGUGGGUAACCUGCCCCGAAGCGGGGGAUAACAUUUGGAAACAAAUGCUAAUACCGCAUAAUUAGUUGGAACCGCAUGGUUCCAACUUGAAAGAUGGCUCUGCUAUCACUUUGGGAUGGACCCGCGCCGUAUUAGUUAGUUGGUGAGAUAAAAGCCCACCAAGACGAUGAUACGUAGCCGACCUGAGAGGGUAAUCGGCCACAUUGGGACUGAGACACGGCCCAGACUCCUACGGGAGGCAGCAGUAGGGAAUCUUCCACAAUGGACGAAAGUCUGAUGGAGCAACGCCGCGUGAGUGAUGAAGGGUUUCGGCUCGUAAAACUCUGUUGUUAAAGAAGAACAAGUGUUAGAGUAACUGUUAACACUUUGACGGUAUUUAACCAGAAAGCCACGGCUAACUACGUGCCAGCAGCCGCGGUAAUACGUAGGUGGCAAGCGUUGUCCGGAUUUAUUGGGCGUAAAGCGAGCGCAGGCGGUUUUGUAAGUCUGCUGUGAAAGCCCUCAGCUCAACUGAGGAAGUGCAGUGGAAACUACAAAACUUGAGUACAGAAGAGGAAAGUGGAACUCCAUGUGUAGCGGUGAAAUGCGUAGAUAUAUGGAAGAACACCAGUGGCGAAGGCGGCUUUCUGGUCUGUUACUGACGCUGAGGCUCGAAAGCAUGGGUAGCGAACAGGAUUAGAUACCCUGGUAGUCCAUGCCGUAAACGAUGAAUACUAGGUGUUGGAGGGUUUCCGCCCUUCAGUGCCGCAGCUAACGCAUUAAGUAUUCCGCCUGGGGAGUACGACCGCAAGGUUGAAACUCAAAGGAAUUGACGGGGGCCCGCACAAGUGGUGGAGCAUGUGGUUUAAUUCGAUGCUACGCGAAGAACCUUACCAGCUCUUGACAUCUUCUGCCAACCUAAGAGAUUAGGCGUUCCCUUCGGGGACAGAAUGACAGGUGGUGCAUGGUUGUCGUCAGCUCGUGUCGUGAGAUGUUGGGUUAAGUCCCGCAACGAGCGCAACCCUUAUUAUUAGUUGCCAGCAUUUAGUUGGGCACUCUAGUGAGACUGCCGGUGAUAAACCGGAGGAAGGUGGGGACGACGUCAAAUCAUCAUGCCCCUUAUGAGCUGGGCUACACACGUGCUACAAUGGAUGGUACAACGAGUCGCGAAACCGCGAGGUCAAGCUAAUCUCUUAAAGCCAUUCUCAGUUCGGAUUGCAGGCUGCAACUCGCCUGCAUGAAGUUGGAAUCACUAGUAAUCGUGGAUCAGCAUGCCACGGUGAAUACGUUCCCGGGCCUUGUACACACCGCCCGUCACACCAUGAGAG
RNAcentral lists this ribosomal RNA (1330 nucleotides) under Apilactobacillus kunkeei. RNAcentral describes it as "bacterial SSU rRNA". It matches the Rfam family "Bacterial small subunit ribosomal RNA", at positions 93 to 1410 of the family's 1533-position model. Lineage: Bacteria; Bacillati; Bacillota; Bacilli; Lactobacillales; Lactobacillaceae. The record is from RNAcentral.